Molecule: long non-coding RNA, 2981 nt
Filed under: Heterocephalus glaber (naked mole-rat)
Lineage: Eukaryota; Metazoa; Chordata; Mammalia; Rodentia; Bathyergidae
Description: lncRNA (ENSHGLG00000036347.1)
Source: RNAcentral
GUUGAGUAUUCCUUAUCUGAAAUGCUUGGGACCAGAUGUGUUUCAGGUUUCAGAUUUUAGAAUAUCUCCAUAGACUACCAGUUGAGCAUCCUGUCUUGAGAAUUCAAAAUCCAAAUGCUUCAAAGUCUGAAACCUUUUGAGCCUUGACACCUUGUAGGGCAGUUUGACAAAAUCCUAAUUUAAAACACAGAUAUUCCUUGACUUGACAAUUUCACUUCUUAGACUUUAUCUUACAGAGCACCCAUGUAUGUAAAGAUCUGUUUUUUAAUUUUAUUUGCUUUUUAAAUUGACAAAAUUGUAUCUAUUUAUCCUGUACAACAUGUUUUGAGAUGCAGUAUAUGCACAUUGUGGAAUGGCUAAAUCAAGCACAUUAAUAUGCAUUAUUUCACAUGGUUGUCAUUUUUGUGGUGAAAACACUUAAGAUCUACUCUCUUAGCAUUUCUCAACCAUACUAUAAUAAUCACAUUGUACAAUGGAUCUCCUGAAUUUAUUUCUCUUGCCUACUAUUUUGUAUCAUGUAAAAUUCUACUUUUAAAAAGUGGUCAUUGCAGCAUUAUUUGAAAUAGCUAUAGACUGGGAAUGGGCCACAUACUUCAUGGGCUGGUGCCUAGUGAACUGGUUCAUCUGUACUGUGGAAUGUGUCUUUAAAAACAGUCAAGUAUGUCUGUAUUUGUGGAUAUUGAAUGAUCUCUAAAUUCAGAAAAAUUAAUGUGUCUCCUCUGUUUGAAAAAUGAGCCAGAUUCUCAUAUAUAUAUAACUUUAAAAGUUCAUGAAAGAAUAUAAAGAAAUUAUAAGCAGUGUUCUCCAGGUGUCUAGAGUAGGAGAAAAUAUUUGUAUUUUAUUGAGAUGUGAUGCACAUGACAUAAAAUUCACCUUUUUUGUUUGGUUGGGUUUUGGUUUUUUUGCGACAGGGUCUCACUCUGCAGUUCAGGCUGGCCUUGAGCUCACAGCGAUCCUCCUGCCUCAGCUUCCCAAGUGCUGAGAUUACAGGAUCCUGGACACACAGGAUGCGUGGAGGAUGGUGCCCAUUUAAAACUGCACUGGGAAGGCACGCCUACUGCUCAAGAGACCUGGGAACUUGUUGUGUAUAAGACCGUCUGUUAGUUUCCAUUCUACACUUAACUACUGUUUAGGUUGGGUUUAAGCUAAACUUCUGACUUUCAUGUAAACAUAUGGUUGAUACAACAAUGGAAGAUUCAUAUUUGUGAGGCAGGAAUGAAAGGUUGAUGAAGGCAGCCCCAGUAUUUAUUUACAUAUAUAUAUAUGUGUGCCAAUAUUUAAAUGUUUAUAGCCAGGCGUGGUGGCACAUGCCUGUAAUCCCAGCACUUGGGAGGCUGAGGCAACAGGAUCGCUGUGAGUUUGUGGCCAGCCUGGGCUACAUAGUGAGAUGAGACCUUGUCUCAGAAAAGCCAAAAAAAAACAAAAAACAUUGUAGAUUUGCAAUUUUACUUCAUAUUUUAACAUGUAUGAUAGAAGAGUUUCAUUCUUUCUGGAGUUGAAGAGUUUUGUAGUUCUUUAUAACUAUUUAAAAGGAAAUUGUUACUCCUUUUAAGAAAUAAUUGGAAAAAAAGUAUGAUUUGUUGAUACAUAAAUAUAGCAAAAAUAGUUUUAUAUAAGGGUAUAUUUGUUCUUAAGGUAUGAAACUUAAUGAACUUGUGUAGAAAUUUUUAUUUUUCAUUUUCUGCUUUAAAUUUCCAAUAAACCAACUCUAAAAAGUAAUUUUCUGCUUCUGCUAACAAAGAUAAAGCUCUAUUUUUAACUUAGGAAAAGUUUCUAAUGUCAUUGUGACAUACUGAAGUAAAGUUUAUAUUUGAUUAGAAAACUGUUUAUUAAGAUAAAACAAUUUCAAAUUGGUAAAGUGAAUCUGAUUGUUAAUAAACAUUAUUUCAUAUGAUUACUAGCCAUUUAAUUAGUAACUAUCAAAAAGGACUGUUCUUAAUUUGUAAAGUGAAAAUCUGCAGAAUGUUAAUUCUAAUUGAAAUUUUUAGAAUUUUUAUUUUAAGAUAAGUUCAAGCAAGCAGAGUAUUAUCAAAUAAAGGGACACUGGAAUAACAGAAGUGUGUUUUGGAAAUUGCUUGUUAAUGAAAUGAAUGAUAUUAAUGAAAUACUUCCUUUAAAGUUCAUAAGAUUCAGAAAACUAAACAUAUAUCUUCAUGUUUGUUUCUCAGUAAUCUUCACAUCAAGGCAUGUUUGCUAUUUUUUUAAUUGACCAUAAUACAUUCUGAAGGUAUCUCAUUUAUAAAAAUACUUUUUGGAUAGUUUUGCUAGUAGAAAGAUGAGGAAGUUGGGCUUUGGAUAUGAAUAUACUAGACCAGGAAAAUAAAAAUGGAGAACAUUAUUUCAUUGAGUUUACAUAAAAAUGUCAUCUCAUUCCUAAAGUCUGAGUGUGUUAAGAACCAGAAGUGUUCUCUGCACAGGUCCCAGUAUGGUACAGUCCAAUUGAAAACUGUGGUGAAUGUUUAAAGAAAUGUAUUACAGUAAGAAACACAUUGCCUUUAACGUAACAGUUCUGGAACUUUCCCGAGUGUCUUUAGUUACACUGUGUGGCUGCCUCAGCAUUCUGAAUCAGUUCAAAACUGACCUUUCGUGGUCAUUUUGACUUUGGAGAAGAACCAAAAGUUGCUCACUACCAGCUCUGGUGAAUAAGAGGCAUUGGGUGGCACUGUAAUGUUUUUAUGAGCCUGUCUUUCCAUUGGACAGCACUCGGCAAGAGCAUUCACUGUAUUUUUUUCAUCACAUCUCACAAAGACACAAAAGAGGACUCCCAGAACGGGUUUAGAAAGUGGCAAGAAUGAUGGGAUAAGUGUGGUCAAUGUGAAGGGAUUGGUGGCAGUGUGUCUUCUACCUUAAUAAAUUUUAAAAAAUUUAAACAUUCACUUCCUAUUUUCAUCACCCCUUAUAUUAUGAAGGAGGGAAAGACCACCUUGUAACUGGCAAGUUCUGGAGUCUGACAGUAGUUUUCUGUCUCUCUGCAUACAGUG